Molecule: long non-coding RNA, 405 nt
Organism: Dreissena polymorpha
Lineage: Eukaryota; Metazoa; Mollusca; Bivalvia; Myida; Dreissenidae
Exons: 2
Source: RefSeq, a predicted model, not a curated record
CGUUUUAAUCCACCGAUAUUUCUCUAUAAACCACCGGAAAGCAUUAAAUAAAUAUCAUUGUCCACAAUAAUUUAUUAUAGUGUUGAUUCACAAGAUGUAAAUAAUCAACAUUGAUUUAUAUUGCUUUCUCUGCAAAACUGUGUUACAUGUAAAGAUCACAAAUGCAGUUUUCAUUUCUUUGUUUUUCCAGAAAAGAAAAUGUUAUUACUGGCUGAAGGACCAAAAUUGAAUGGACAGAGAACACGGUUGACAAAACUCAAACAGAAGUUGUGUCACUCAGCUACAUUAAAACAUAAAACUGAAGGCAGAAGCAACAAAUACAACAUGUGAAGAAUGAAGCAACAGCGUAAUAAAACUCGGGAGGAGAUGUUGAUGGCGUCAAGGGAAAGAUAUGCCAUUCAGAGG